Molecule: ribosomal RNA, 465 nt
Filed under: uncultured bacterium
Lineage: Bacteria
Description: partial 16S ribosomal RNA
Rfam family: Bacterial small subunit ribosomal RNA
Source: RNAcentral
GACGAACGCUGGCGGCGUGCUUAACACAUGCAAGUCGUACGGUAAGGCCCUUUCGGGGGUACACGAGUGGCGAACGGGUGAGUAACACGUGAGUAACCUGCCCACAACUUUGGGAUAACGCUAGGAAACUGGUGCUAAUACUGGAUAUGUGCUCCUGCUGCAUGGUGGGGGUUGGAAAGCUCCGGCGGUUGUGGAUGGACUCGCGGCCUAUCAGCUUGUUGGUGGGGUAGUGGCCUACCAAGGCGGCGACGGGUAGCCGGCCUGAGUGGGUGACCGGCCACAUUGGGACUGAGAUACGGCCCAGACUCCUACGGGAGGCAGCAGUGGGGAAUAUUGCACAAUGGGCGCAAGCCUGAUGCAGCAACGCCGCGUGCGGGAUGACGGCCUUCGGGUUGUAAACCGCUUUCAGCAGGGACGAAGCUUUUUGUGACGGUACCUGCAGAAGAAGCGCCGGCUAACUACGUG